RNAcentral lists this ribosomal RNA (497 nucleotides) under uncultured bacterium. RNAcentral's name for it is "partial 16S ribosomal RNA". It matches the Rfam family "Bacterial small subunit ribosomal RNA", at positions 28 to 507 of the family's 1533-position model. The record is from RNAcentral.
GAUGAACGCUGGCGGCGUGCCUAAUACAUGCAAGUCGAGCGAACAGAUGAGGAGCUUGCUCCUCUGACGUUAGCGGCGGACGGGUGAGUAACACGUGGAUAACCUACCUAUAAGACUGGGAUAACUUCGGGAAACCGGAGCUAAUACCGGAUAAUAUAUUGAACCGCAUGGUUCAAUAGUGAAAGACGGUUUUGCUGUCACUUAUAGCUGGAUCCGCGCCGCAUUAGCUAGUUGGUAAGGUAACGGCUUACCAAGGCAACGAUGCGUAGCCGACCGGAGAGGGGGAUCGGCCACACGGGAACUGAGACACGGUCCAGACUCCUACGGGAGGCAGCAGUAGGGAAUCUUCCGCAAUGGUCGAAAGCCUGACGGAGCAACGCCGCGUGAGUGAUGAAGGUCUUCGGAUCGUAAAACUCUGUUAUUAGGUAAGAACAAAUGUGUAAGUAACUAUGCACGUCUUGACGGUACCUAAUCAGAAAGCCACGGCUAACUACGUG